Molecule: long non-coding RNA, 551 nt
Organism: Nannospalax galili (Upper Galilee mountains blind mole rat)
Lineage: Eukaryota; Metazoa; Chordata; Mammalia; Rodentia; Spalacidae
Exons: 4
Source: RefSeq, a predicted model, not a curated record
UGGCUGUUGUGAUGAGGAGGAUGAAGAACGCAGGCAGAGCUCAGGUCCCUGCUGAGAACAAACCUCCAGGAUGAUAGUUGAUCCCCUACCUGCAUACCUCCCAUCAUGUUUCUUCAUCUUUCCCCAUGAAUACUGAUUUCUGGAAAUUUCUCUGGGGCUGGGCUGUUUGCUGAGAUCCUGAGAUAGUGCAGACAAGAGCCCAUGGGGGAGCUCAGCCAACCCAUAUGUUGUAUAGGACUGUCCUCUGAUAGAUGCCAUCUUUCCAAGAGGCCUGCUUGCCUAGGAUCAUCACAGGGAAAGUACCCAGGGCUCUGCCGGCUCGCUGAGUUUGAAAAGCCACACCUGAGGAGGAACGAAAAUGAGACACUGGCCAGGUAGUCAGCCUGUUUGUUUCCUGUUUCCUCAUUACACCUGUUCUCAGGGCUGUGCGUGAGUCUGGUGCUGUUAUUCUCUGUCCUCAGUGUCUGACGGCAGCAGUUUCUCCUGUCAUUAUACCCCAGGGCCAAGGAAGCCCUGCGGUCAAGUCUCUGUAGCAUCAAGAAAAUUUUUGG